RNAcentral lists this ribosomal RNA (428 nucleotides) under uncultured bacterium. RNAcentral describes it as "bacterial SSU rRNA". It matches the Rfam family "Bacterial small subunit ribosomal RNA", at positions 355 to 775 of the family's 1533-position model. The record is from RNAcentral.
CGGGGAAUAUUGGACAAUGGGGGCAACCCUGAUCCAGCCAUGCCGCGUGUGUGAAGAAGGCCUUUUGGUUGUAAAGCACUUUAAGCAGUGAAGAAGACUCCAUGGUUAAUACCCAUGGACGAUGACAUUAGCUGCAGAAUAAGCACCGGCUAACUCUGUGCCAGCAGCCGCGGUAAUACAGAGGGUGCAAGCGUUAAUCGGAAUUACUGGGCGUAAAGCGAGCGUAGGUGGCUUGAUAAGUCAGAUGUGAAAGCCCUGGGCUUAACCUGGGAACGGCAUCUGAUACUGUUAGGCUAGAGUAGGUGAGAGGAAGGUAGAAUUCCAGGUGUAGCGGUGGAAUGCGUAGAGAUCUGGAGGAAUACCGAUGGCGAAGGCAGCCUUCUGGCAUCAUACUGACACUGAGGUUCGAAAGCGUGGGUAGCAAACAG